RNAcentral lists this ribosomal RNA (110 nucleotides) under Oncorhynchus mykiss (rainbow trout). The record is from RNAcentral. Lineage: Eukaryota; Metazoa; Chordata; Actinopteri; Salmoniformes; Salmonidae.
GCUUACGGCCACACCGGCCUGAGUACCGUCCGAUCUCGGAAGCUAAGCAGGGUCGGGCCUGGUUAGUACUUGGAUGGGAGACCGCCUGGGAAUACCAGGUGCUGUAAGCU